AUGAAGAGAUUUUUGAGGGGCUCAUCAAGCCGAAGCUUGAAGGAUAAGCAAAGUGAGGAGGAUAAGAGGCCCAAAUAUAACCUUCCUUGCACCGCGGAGGUUCGACCAUGUGAAUGGCCUUGUGAUGAUUUCUUGAGAGCAGCUGGGAUUUUUGAUGAUUUCUAUGUAUUGGCUGAGAAUGCAGGCCUCACUGCCUUCCUCCACGACCAACGCGAACAGUAUCUCUUACUCACCAAUAUCUUUGUGCAAAACUUUCAUUUCCAUGCUAGGAGCUCACCACCUAUGGUGGAAUUUUAUUUAUAUGAUGAGCAUAAGGAGAUGUCACUUCAUGAUUUUUGUCGGGUUUGUUUGAUCCCUUUCGAGGGCAGCGUAGAGGAACCACAUCAUGACGAUGUGGAUGGGUUUAUUGAUACCAUCACUAUAGGGGAAACGAGGAAGGUUUUCGACGAAUGA
RNAcentral lists this ribosomal RNA (453 nucleotides) under Triticum aestivum (bread wheat). Its description in RNAcentral is "partial small subunit ribosomal RNA". The record is from RNAcentral. Lineage: Eukaryota; Viridiplantae; Streptophyta; Magnoliopsida; Poales; Poaceae.